GCUCCUCUCCACCUCUAGCCUGCUCAUUUCCAGCUCAGAAAUUCUACUAAUGGCGUUUUUUCUUCCUGAAAAAGGAAAUGAACAGGGUCCCUGCUGAUUCUCCAAAUAUGUGUCUAAUCUGUUUACUGAGUUCCAUAGCACUUGGAGCCAUCCAUGCAAAAAUCUGUAGAAGAGCAUUCCAGGAAGAGGGAAGAGCAAAUGCAAAGACGGGCGUGAGAGCUUGGUGCAUACAGCCAUGGGCCAAAUAAAGUUUCCUUGGAAUAGC
This 265-nucleotide long non-coding RNA is filed under the name Homo sapiens (human). Its description in RNAcentral is "HSALNT0376297". Lineage: Eukaryota; Metazoa; Chordata; Mammalia; Primates; Hominidae. The record is from RNAcentral.